This 253-nucleotide ribosomal RNA is filed under the name uncultured bacterium. Its description in RNAcentral is "partial 16S ribosomal RNA". It matches the Rfam family "Bacterial small subunit ribosomal RNA", at positions 524 to 776 of the family's 1533-position model. The record is from RNAcentral.
UACGUAGGGGGCGAGCGUUGUCCGGAUUUAUUGGGCGUAAAGAGCUUGUAGGCGGUUUGUCGCGUCUGCCGUGAAAAUCCGAGGCUCAACCUCGGACUUGCGGUGGGUACGGGCAGACUAGAGUGUGGUAGGGGAGACUGGAAUUCCUGGUGUAGCGGUGAAAUGCGCAGAUAUCAGGAGGAACACCGGUGGCGAAGGCGGAUCUCUGGGCCUUACCUGACGCUGAGGCGCGAAAGCUAGGGGAGCGAACAGG